This 481-nucleotide ribosomal RNA is filed under the name uncultured bacterium. RNAcentral's name for it is "partial 16S ribosomal RNA". It matches the Rfam family "Bacterial small subunit ribosomal RNA", at positions 28 to 507 of the family's 1533-position model. The record is from RNAcentral.
GACGAACGUUGGCGGCGUGCUUAAUACAUGCAAGUCGACUGAAGCGGCGGUAGCAAUAUCGCUGUGGAGGUGGCGCACGGGUGAGUAACACGGAGGUUAUCCGCCUUCAGGUCUGGCGUUACUCCGAGGAACCGGGGCUAAUAACAGGUGAUGCAGCGGCUCGGCAUCGAGGGGGUUGGUAAAGCUAUGGCGCCGGGAGAUGAGCCUGCGUCUGAUUAGCUGGUUGGCGGGGUGACGGCCCACCAAGGCAACGAUCAGUAGCUGGUCUGAGAGGAUGAUCAGCCACACGGGAACUGAGACACGGUCCAGAAUCCUACGGGAGGCAGCAGUAAGGAAUAUUGCUCAAUGGGAGAAAUCCUGAAGCAGCAACGCAGCGUGAGGGACGAAGGGCGUGUGCUUGUAAACCUCUGUAGUGAGAGAAAAAAAUCCCAAUCUUGGGGACAUGACGGUAACUCAAAAGUAAGCCCCGGCUAACUACGUG